GGGUUCCCCUUUGCUUUAACAUGGGGGUACCUGCUGUGUGAAACAAAAGUAAGUGCUUCCAUGUUUCAGUGGAGGUGUCUCC
Molecule: microRNA precursor, 82 nt
Organism: Callithrix jacchus (white-tufted-ear marmoset)
Lineage: Eukaryota; Metazoa; Chordata; Mammalia; Primates; Cebidae
Gene: cja-mir-302c
Product: cja-mir-302c
Source: Ensembl